RNAcentral lists this ribosomal RNA (705 nucleotides) under Acinetobacter sp. L7-87. RNAcentral's name for it is "bacterial SSU rRNA". It matches the Rfam family "Bacterial small subunit ribosomal RNA", at positions 151 to 850 of the family's 1533-position model. The record is from RNAcentral. Lineage: Bacteria; Pseudomonadati; Pseudomonadota; Gammaproteobacteria; Moraxellales; Moraxellaceae.
CCGAAAGGAAUGCUAAUACCGCAUACGCCCUACGGGGGAAAGCAGGGGAUCUUCGGACCUUGCGCUAAUAGAUGAGCCUAAGUCAGAUUAGCUAGUUGGUGGGGUAAAGGCCUACCAAGGCGACGAUCUGUAGCGGGUCUGAGAGGAUGAUCCGCCACACUGGGACUGAGACACGGCCCAGACUCCUACGGGAGGCAGCAGUGGGGAAUAUUGGACAAUGGGCGAAAGCCUGAUCCAGCCAUGCCGCGUGUGUGAAGAAGGCCUUUUGGUUGUAAAGCACUUUAAGCGAGGAGGAGGCUACUUGGAUUAAUACUCUAGGAUAGUGGACGUUACUCGCAGAAUAAGCACCGGCUAACUCUGUGCCAGCAGCCGCGGUAAUACAGAGGGUGCGAGCGUUAAUCGGAUUUACUGGGCGUAAAGCGUGCGUAGGCGGCUUUUUAAGUCGGAUGUGAAAUCCCUGAGCUUAACUUAGGAAUUGCAUUCGAUACUGGGAAGCUAGAGUAUGGGAGAGGAUGGUAGAAUUCCAGGUGUAGCGGUGAAAUGCGUAGAGAUCUGGAGGAAUACCGAUGGCGAAGGCAGCCAUCUGGCCUAAUACUGACGCUGAGGUACGAAAGCAUGGGGAGCAAACAGGAUUAGAUACCCUGGUAGUCCAUGCCGUAAACGAUGUCUACUAGCCGUUGGGGCCUUUGAGGCUUUAGUGGCGCA